CAGAAUUGUCGUCAAAGUAACAACUAUGAAAGAGAUAAAAAGGUGCAUGGAGAAGGAUGUUAACGGAGUGACAAAGGUUGCAAAACUCAACGGAAUCAAAAUGACAACACUAGAAUAAAGAGCUCCAUGUACCAUCGAGCCUGUGUGGAUUAUUUGCAGCAGCAAGUGCCGAACGGCAGCAGCUUGCAUGUGCACGAUGGUAUGGAAGGUUAAUCAUGAUGAUUGCAUACAAAAUACGUAUGCCCCUGUUGCAA
Molecule: long non-coding RNA, 254 nt
Organism: Triticum aestivum (bread wheat)
Lineage: Eukaryota; Viridiplantae; Streptophyta; Magnoliopsida; Poales; Poaceae
Exons: 3
Source: RefSeq, a predicted model, not a curated record